GGAGAGGCCACGGGAAUGCAGCCGGAAGUGAUGAUGGGGAAAGAUCUGGAAGGCAGGCUGGACGCCCGCCCAGUGAUGGGUCGCGGGGGGAGGAGAGCAGGGGCCGUGAGGGAGCGCUGCGUUCACUUACAUGUUCUUUCCACAAACUUCACGGGGGCCACGUGUUUAGAAGACAAAAGGACUAGACCCUUCUGUUGGGUUCUCAGCGGCUGGCAUCCGGAUGCAAGCCGCGUGCGAACACCCGCGGGUGGUAGAGACCCCGCCAACCUGCUGCGGCCUUCCCUCGCCGGCCCCGCACGCUGGCAGCUGUGGGCGCUCGGCCCGCUCCCGGGGCUCGGACAGCCAACACCGUGGGGUGUCACCGGGCUCCCCCACGAGGAUCACCCGGCGGGGGCUGAGGACACGAGGACGCCGGCCAAUCACCAGAGGCCGAGGUGAUUCAAGACAUUUUUUUUCUGAGAUUGGGACUCCCUGGCUGAGGGAAAGUACCUGGGUACUGUCAAGAGGCUGGAAAAGCCAUCACGAAACGUGAGAAAAUAUCUAAAAACCACGUGUCUACUAAGAAUCCGGUAUCGAGAUGUAAGGAAUACAUAGACAAUAUAUAUAUGUUACCGUACACAGUAUACAAGGAAUUCUCUCCUGACUCGGCAAUCCAAUUUAAAAAAAAAACGAACAAAGCGUUCAAAUAGACGUUUCUCCAAAGAAGAGAAAGAAAUGAUCCCCAAGCACACGAAGCGUCACGACCGUCAUUCGUCGUAAGAGGAGCAAACCGGAGUCGCAGGGAAAUCCUGUUUCACCCUCAGUGGCUGCAGUCAGCAUGUGAACGGUCACGGGUGUGGAUGGGGCCGCGUGCGGGGUCCGAACCCUCGGCGCUGCGGGCAGGACACACGACGGCGCGGCCACUUUGGGGAUGCGGGUGGGAUCCCCAGGCAGGGGUGCUCAGCGGCUGGGCGCCUGCCUGCGGCCCAGGGCGUGAUCCCGGGAUCGAGUCCCGCGUCGGGCUCCCCGCAGGGACCCUGCUUCUCCCUCUGCCUGGGUCUCUGCCUCUCUCUGUGUCUCUCAUGAAUAAAUAAAUAAAAAUCUUAAAAAAAAAAAAAAAAGAAAAACCAACCUGUGCCCACGUGACCCAGCGUCACCCUCUAGGCGUGUGUCAAGGGAGCCGGAAACCCAGCUUCGCACCAAGACUCGAGCCCAAGUGCCCGUGUUGCUCACCACGGCCACAGAGCAGGAGCACCCGCAGGCUCCCCGCUGACGAAGGGCCCCCCAGGACGGGUGACCCCUCGGCGCACCGCCUACUAUUCAGGGAUAAACCCUGGGCACGUUACACUAAGGGAAGUAAACCAGGCACAUGGCGUCACACGGGGUCACACGUCCUAUGAUUCCAUUUACCAAAAAUGUCAAAAAUAAGCAAAUCCGUAGAGACAGAAAUCAGACUUUUGGCUGCCGACGGCGGGAGGAAGGGACUGGAAAGGGGCGUGAGUGCUGGGGGGUGUGGGAUUGCCUGGCGGGGUGACGAAGACCUUCCGGGCGUGUGCGGUGCUGGUGGCCCUACUACGACCUCGCGAGGAACCUCAAACCCCCG
This 1582-nucleotide long non-coding RNA is filed under the name Canis lupus familiaris (dog). RNAcentral describes it as "lncRNA (ENSCAFG00000052159.1)". The record is from RNAcentral. Lineage: Eukaryota; Metazoa; Chordata; Mammalia; Carnivora; Canidae.